CCUACGGGAGGCAGCAGUAGGGAAUCUUCCACAAUGGACGAAAGUCUGAUGGAGCAACGCCGCGUGAGCGAUGAAGGCCUUCGGGUCGUAAAGCUCUGUUGUUAGGGAAGAACAAGUACCGGAGUAACUGCCGGUACCUUGACGGUACCUAACCAGAAAGCCACGGCUAACUACGUGCCAGCAGCCGCGGUAAUACGUAGGUGGCAAGCGUUGUCCGGAAUUAUUGGGCGUAAAGCGCGCGCAGGCGGUCCUUUAAGUCUGAUGUGAAAGCCCACGGCUCAACCGUGGAGGGUCAUUGGAAACUGGGGGACUUGAGUGCAGAAGAGGAAAGCGGAAUUCCACGUGUAGCGGUGAAAUGCGUAGAGAUGUGGAGGAACACCAGUGGCGAAGGCGGCUUUCUGGUCUGUAACUGACGCUGAGGCGCGAAAGCGUGGGGAGCAAACAGGAUUAGAUACCCUUGUAGUC
RNAcentral lists this ribosomal RNA (465 nucleotides) under uncultured bacterium. RNAcentral's name for it is "bacterial SSU rRNA". It matches the Rfam family "Bacterial small subunit ribosomal RNA", at positions 338 to 795 of the family's 1533-position model. The record is from RNAcentral.